RNAcentral lists this ribosomal RNA (471 nucleotides) under uncultured bacterium. RNAcentral describes it as "bacterial SSU rRNA". It matches the Rfam family "Bacterial small subunit ribosomal RNA", at positions 355 to 825 of the family's 1533-position model. The record is from RNAcentral.
CGGGGAAUAUUGGACAAUGGGCGAAAGCCUGAUCCAGCCAUGCCGCGUGUGUGAAGAAGGUCUUCGGAUUGUAAAGCACUUUAAGUUGGGAGGAAGGGCAGUAAGUUAAUACCUUGCUGUUUUGACGUUACCGACAGAAUAAGCACCGGCUAACUCUGUGCCAGCAGCCGCGGUAAUACAGAGGGUGCAAGCGUUAAUCGGAAUUACUGGGCGUAAAGCGCGCGUAGGUGGUUUGUUAAGUUGGAUGUGAAAUCCCCGGGCUCAACCUGGGAACUGCAUUCAAAACUGACUGACUAGAGUAUGGUAGAGGGUGGUGGAAUUUCCGGUGUAGCGGUGAAAUGCGUAGAUAUCAAGAGGAACACCUGAGGUGAAGACGGUUGCUGGGCUGACACUGACGCUGAGGCGCGAAAGCCAGGGGAGCAAACGGGAUUAGAUACCCCUGUAGUCCCUGAGCGGGCUGGCAAGGCGCAU